This 274-nucleotide ribosomal RNA is filed under the name uncultured bacterium. RNAcentral describes it as "partial 16S ribosomal RNA". It matches the Rfam family "Archaeal small subunit ribosomal RNA", at positions 473 to 747 of the family's 1478-position model. The record is from RNAcentral.
AAACCAGCACCUCAAGUGGUCAGGAGGAUUAUUGGGCCUAAAGCAUCCGUAGCCUGCUCUGUAAGUUUCCGGUUAAAUUCAUUCGCUUAACUGAUGUGCCGCCGGAAAAACUGCAAAGCUAGGGAGUGGGAGAGGUAGACGGUACUCGGCAGGAAGGGGUAAAAUCCUUUGAUCUAUUGAUGACCACCAGUGGCGAAGGCGGUCUACCAGAACACGUUCGACGGUGAGGGAUGAAAGCUGGGGGAGCAAACCGGAUUAGAAACCCUGGUAGUCC